CUCAGGUCCCAUACGCAUAGUUCAAUCGCCAUGGAGUCAAAGUCUGUUACAGUUCUUCGGUAUGCGAUUGACUCCAUGGGAAGGCUAUCUGGGGUAAGUCCAUUUGUGCAUUUAAACCUCCUGUCGAUUGAGAAGGGAGGUCGGCGGCUUCAGUGGUGUUCGGCUGAAAGUGUCCGUUUUCAGUUCCAUGAAAUCAAUGCCGAACACCGCU
This is a non-coding RNA of Pelobates cultripes (western spadefoot toad), 211 nucleotides long. NCBI's taxonomy places the organism in Eukaryota, Metazoa, Chordata, Amphibia, Anura, Pelobatidae. The record is from the annotation of a GenBank genome assembly.